This is a long non-coding RNA of Entelurus aequoreus (snake pipefish), 754 nucleotides long. RefSeq lists it as uncharacterized. The record is from RefSeq and is a predicted model, not a curated record. The transcript is spliced from 5 exons. NCBI's taxonomy places the organism in Eukaryota, Metazoa, Chordata, Actinopteri, Syngnathiformes, Syngnathidae.
CAGGUUUUUUUCGGGACUCCUGAUGACGUUUUGAGACAUCUCCUACAACUACAGCACCAGAAUUGGGCCGUUGAAGCAAGUUUUUUCUGGACUCCUGAUGACGUUUUGAGACAUCUCCUACAACUACAGCACCAGAAUUGGGCCGUUGAAGCAAGUUUUUUCGGGACUCCUGAUGACGUUUUGAGACAUCUCCUACAACUACAGCACCAGAAUUGGGCCGUUGAAGCAAGUCCGUCUUUUUGAAUUUUUUGUUUUGUCUGGACUCCUGAUGACGUUUUGAGACAUCUCCUACAACUACAGCACCAGAAUUGGGCCGUUGAAGCAAGUUCGUUUUUUUGAAUUUUUUGUUUUUUUCGGGACUCCUGAUGACGUUUUGAGACAUCUCCUACAACUACAGCACCAGAAUUGGGCCGUUGAAGCAAGUUCGUUUUUUUUUAUUUUUUGUAAGGGUCCCCCUUACGACAUUCUAGCAAAAAAAAAUGUGGGUAAAAUAUGCAUUUUCUUCAAUUUUCUGUUUUUUUCGGGACUCCUGAUGACGUUUUGAGACAUCUCCUACAACUACAGCACCAGAAUUUGGCUGUUGAAGCAAGUCCGUUUUUUUGAAAUUUUUGUAAGGGUCCCCCCUUACGAAAUUUUAGCAAAUACAUUUUUUCUUAAAAUAUGCAUUUUCUUCCAUUUUCAGGUUUUUUCUGGACUCCUGAUGACGUUUUGAGACAUCUCCUACAACUUUAGCAUAUAUAUACAGCAUAGCAUA